Arvicanthis niloticus (Nile rat) is the source of this 214-nucleotide small nucleolar RNA. RefSeq annotates it as small nucleolar RNA U3. The record is from RefSeq and is a predicted model, not a curated record. NCBI's taxonomy places the organism in Eukaryota, Metazoa, Chordata, Mammalia, Rodentia, Muridae.
AAGACUAUACUUUCAGGGAUCAUUUCUAUAGUUCGUUACUAGAGAAGUUUCUCUGAGUGUGUAGAGCACCCGAAACCACGGGGAGGAGGUGCAGCAUCCUUUCCUGAGCGUGAAGCCGGCUCUUAGUGUUGUUUCUUGCAACUACUACCAGCCAUUGAUGAUCGUUCUUGGACCUCUUUGAGGUCUAAGAGGGAGAGGAUGCAGUCUGAGUGUU